Small nuclear RNA from Nycticebus coucang (slow loris), 107 nucleotides. NCBI's taxonomy places the organism in Eukaryota, Metazoa, Chordata, Mammalia, Primates, Lorisidae. The record is from RefSeq and is a predicted model, not a curated record.
GUGCUCACUUUGGCAGCACAUGUACUUAUAUUGGAACAACACAGAGAAGAAUAGCACAACCCCUGCACAAUAAUGGCAUGCAAAUUCAUGAAUCAUUCCAUAUUUUU